AGUGAACGCUGGCGGUAGGCCUAACACAUGCAAGUCGAACGGCAGCACAGUAAGAGCUUGCUCUUACGGGUGGCGAGUGGCGGACGGGUGAGGAAUACAUCGGAAUCUACUUUUUCGUGGGGGAUAACGUAGGGAAACUUACGCUAAUACCGCAUACGACCUACGGGUGAAAGCAGGGGAUCUUCGGACCUUGCGCGAUUGAAUGAGCCGAUGUCGGGUUAGCUAGUUGGCGGGGUAAAGGCCCACCAAGGCGACGAUCCGUAGCUGGUCUGAGAGGAUGAUCAGCCACACUGGAACUGAGACACGGUCCAGACUCCUACGGGAGGCAGCAGUGGGGAAUAUUGGACAAUGGGCGCAAGCCUGAUCCAGCCAUACCGCGUGGGUGAAGAAGGCCUUCGGGCUGUAAAGCCCUUUUGUUGGGAAAGAAAAGCAGCAGGUUAAUACCCCGCUGUUCUGACGGUACCCAAAGAAUAAGCACCGGCUAACUUCGUG
Molecule: ribosomal RNA, 492 nt
Filed under: uncultured bacterium
Lineage: Bacteria
Description: partial 16S ribosomal RNA
Rfam family: Bacterial small subunit ribosomal RNA
Source: RNAcentral